RNAcentral lists this ribosomal RNA (263 nucleotides) under uncultured Staphylococcus sp. RNAcentral describes it as "partial 16S ribosomal RNA". It matches the Rfam family "Bacterial small subunit ribosomal RNA", at positions 99 to 355 of the family's 1533-position model. The record is from RNAcentral. Lineage: Bacteria; Bacillati; Bacillota; Bacilli; Caryophanales; Staphylococcaceae.
CGGACGGGUGAGUAACACGUGGAUAACCUGCCUAUAAGACUGGGAUAACUUCGGGAAACCGGAGCUAAUACCGGAUAAUAUAUUGAACCGCAUGGUUCAAUGGUGAAAGACGGUUUUGCUGUCACUUAUAGAUGGAUCCGCGCCGCAUUAGCUAGUUGGUAAGGUAACGGCUUACCAAGGCAACGAUGCGUAGCCGACCUGAGAGGGUGAUCGGCCACACUGGAACUGAGACACGGUCCAGACUCCUACGGGAGGCAGCAGCC